RNAcentral lists this transfer RNA (73 nucleotides) under Marmota marmota marmota (Alpine marmot). It matches the Rfam family "tRNA". From Rfam's summary of the family: Transfer RNA (tRNA) molecules are approximately 80 nucleotides in length. Their secondary structure includes four short double-helical elements and three loops (D, anti-codon, and T loops). The record is from Rfam by way of RNAcentral. RNAcentral also lists the same sequence under 1 other name. Lineage: Eukaryota; Metazoa; Chordata; Mammalia; Rodentia; Sciuridae.
GGGGAAAUAGCUCAGUUGGUAGAGUGCUUGCCUAGCAUGCACAGAGCCCUGGGUUCAAUCCCCAGAAUCACCA